UGCGGGGUGGAGCAGUUCGGUAGCUCGCGUGGCUCAUAACCACGAGGUCGCAGGUUCAAAUCCUGCCCACGCAACCA
Molecule: transfer RNA, 77 nt
Filed under: Alphaproteobacteria bacterium
Lineage: Bacteria; Pseudomonadati; Pseudomonadota; Alphaproteobacteria
Description: tRNA-Met
Rfam family: tRNA
About the family: Transfer RNA (tRNA) molecules are approximately 80 nucleotides in length. Their secondary structure includes four short double-helical elements and three loops (D, anti-codon, and T loops).
Source: RNAcentral